UGGCCACGCAAGUUCGUCGGGAAAUCCAGCGGCUCAACCGCUGGGCGUCCGGCGAAAACUGCGUGGCUUGGGACCGGAAGGCUCGAGGGGUACGUCCGGGGUAGGAGUGAAAUCCCGUAAUCCUGGACGGACCACCGAUGGCGAAAGCACCUCGAGAGAACGGAUCCGACAGUGAGGGACGAAAGCUGGGGUCUCGAACCGGAUUAGAUACCCGGGUAGUCCCAGCCGUAAACGAUGCCAGUUAGGUGUGACAGAGGCUACGAGCCUCUGUUGUGCCGUAGGGAAGCCGAGAAACUGGCCGCCUGGGAA
This 309-nucleotide ribosomal RNA is filed under the name uncultured archaeon. Its description in RNAcentral is "bacterial SSU rRNA". It matches the Rfam family "Archaeal small subunit ribosomal RNA", at positions 526 to 834 of the family's 1478-position model. The record is from RNAcentral.